This 458-nucleotide ribosomal RNA is filed under the name uncultured bacterium. Its description in RNAcentral is "partial 16S ribosomal RNA". It matches the Rfam family "Bacterial small subunit ribosomal RNA", at positions 338 to 795 of the family's 1533-position model. The record is from RNAcentral.
CCUACGGGAGGCUGCAGUGAGGAAUAUUGGUCAAUGGGCGAGAGCCUGAACCAGCCAAGUCGCGUGAGGGAGUACUGCCCUAUGGGUUGUAAACUUCUUUUGUCGGGGAGCAAAAGCCGGACGUGUCCGGCUGUGAGAGUACCCGAAGAAAAAGCAUCGGCUAACUCCGUGCCAGCAGCCGCGGUAAUACGGAGGCUGCGAGCGUUAUCCGGAUUUAUUGGGUUUAAAGGGUGCGCAGGCGGAUUUUUAAGUCAGCGGUAAAAUCGUGGGGCUCAACCCCAUCCAGCCGUUGACAUUGGGGAUCUAGAGUGUGCGAGAGGUAUGCGGAAUGCGUGGUGUAGCGGUGAAAUGCAUAGAGAUCACGCAGAACCCCGAUUGCGAAGGCAGCAUACCGGUGCACAACUGACGCUCAGGCACGAAAGCGUGGGUAUCGAACAGGAUUAGAUACCCUGGUAGUC